CGAGGGCGCCUCAACCACCCCCUGCCCGACCUGUCCAAGGUGGAGGCGCGGGUGAAGUUCGACCAGAGCUACCGCCCACCCCGGGGCCGGGUGCUCCCUGCCCGCCCCCGCGGCCCCAUCGGCUUCAAAUCCCCGGCCGAAAUCGUCCGGGAGGUGCUGCUGAGCAGCGGCGAGGGGGCGUCCCCCCAGCCCCCCAGCACGGCCGGGCUGCCGCAGGAAUUCAGGUCCCCCAGACAAGCCACGGCGCUGGUGCAGCAGCUCCAGGACGACUACCACAAGCUGCUGACCAAGUACGCCGAGGCUGAGAACACCAUUGACCAGCUGCGCCUGGGCGCCAGGGUGGGUGGGGGCUCAGGAUGCCUGGAGGGGUUUCCCUCCCUGCUCCCCCCUCCCUGAGGUUAUGAGUUGUGCCUUCCUCCCCCGGCCCCCCUCCUCUUCCUCCUUCCGGGGAGCUGCGGUUGAGGCCACCGCAGAGCCCACAGCAGCCCGGGGAGCACCGUGCCCUCCUCGCCUGCAGGGUCCCUUCCGUGCCAGGGCGGUGGCAGAGCCGGAUUGUCCCCGGAGUGGCGGGGCACGUCUCUGCGAUGGCAGGAAGCACGUCCCUGUGUCACCUCUGCCACCGCGUGGGUGGGGAAACCGAGGCAGGGCUGUCCCAACCGCCCCCCGCACUCGUGUCCCCACCUUCACCGCACCCACUGCUGUGCCCAUGAGGUGCUUCAGGGUGCCCCGGGGCACAGUGGGUGGGUCGGGGUGCAGGCUGGCUGCCCAAACCCUCUCUCCCUGCCCAGGUGAGCCUAUUCUCCGACCCGCCACAGCCCAGCCGCAGCCUCGCCGUGGGCACCGUGGCUACCGGGAGUCGAGUGAUGACCCUGAGCAUCCCGCAGGCACGGACAGCGGCUCUCGGUAUGGCCACAGCCCCGGCUCCUCCAGGUGCAGCUGCAGCCCCGGGACCGUCAGAGCGGGGGGGUUCACCCCAACCUCGGUCCCCUCCUCCGCCCGGGGGGAGCUGCCCCACCUGCCCCGGGCCCUGCUGCUGCCCCGGCCCCCGGCUCACCCGGGCCCUGGCAGGGCAGAGCCGCCGGCUGCAGGCGCAGGUGGAAUCCUUCGAAAGCUGGGUGCGUUCAGGGACCCCUACAGCCUCGGAACAGCUCCAGAGGAUGAGGAUGCUGAAGGACGCGCAGGAUGCGCUGGAGCGGGAAUACCUGCGGGGCCGGCAGCAGCUCCCGGCAGCUGCGGGGGAGUUUGA
This 1246-nucleotide long non-coding RNA is filed under the name Serinus canaria (Common canary). Its description in RNAcentral is "lncRNA (ENSSCAG00000007074.1)". The record is from RNAcentral. Lineage: Eukaryota; Metazoa; Chordata; Aves; Passeriformes; Fringillidae.